RNAcentral lists this ribosomal RNA (525 nucleotides) under Salmonella enterica. RNAcentral's name for it is "bacterial SSU rRNA". It matches the Rfam family "Bacterial small subunit ribosomal RNA", at positions 1008 to 1533 of the family's 1533-position model. Lineage: Bacteria; Pseudomonadati; Pseudomonadota; Gammaproteobacteria; Enterobacterales; Enterobacteriaceae. The record is from RNAcentral.
GGGAACGUGCCUUCGGGAACUGUGAGACAGGUGCUGCAUGGCUGUCGUCAGCUCGUGUUGUGAAAUGUUGGGUUAAGUCCCGCAACGAGCGCAACCCUUAUCCUUUGUUGCCAGCGGUCCGGCCGGGAACUCAAAGGAGACUGCCAGUGAUAAACUGGAGGAAGGUGGGGAUGACGUCAAGUCAUCAUGGCCCUUACGACCAGGGCUACACACGUGCUACAAUGGCAUAUACAAAGAGAAGCGACCUCGCGAGAGCAAGCGGACCUCAUAAAGUAUGUCGUAGUCCGGAUUGGAGUCUGCAACUCGACUCCAUGAAGUCGGAAUCGCUAGUAAUCGUGGAUCAGAAUGCCACGGUGAAUACGUUCCCGGGCCUUGUACACACCGCCCGUCACACCAUGGGAGUGGGUUGCAAAAGAAGUAGGUAGCUUAACCUUCGGGAGGGCGCUUACCACUUUGUGAUUCAUGACUGGGGUGAAGUCGUAACAAGGUAACCGUAGGGGAACCUGCGGUUGGAUCACCUCCUUA